AGGUCACACCUGUUUCCAUACCGAACACAGUAGUUAAGCUCAGUAGCGCCAAAAGUAGUUGGAGGAUCGCCUCCUGCGAGGAUAGGACG
Molecule: ribosomal RNA, 89 nt
Filed under: Weissella thailandensis fsh4-2
Lineage: Bacteria; Bacillati; Bacillota; Bacilli; Lactobacillales; Lactobacillaceae
Source: RNAcentral